AUUGAACGCUGGCGGCAUGCUUUACACAUGCAAGUCGAACGGCAGCGAGGAGAAGCUUGCUUCUCUGUCGGCGAGUGGCGAACGGGUGAGUAUAGCAUCGGAACGUGCCAAGUAGUGGGGGAUAACCAAACGAAAGUUUGGCUAAUACCGCGUAAGCUCUAAGGAGGAAAGUAGGGGACCUAAAUAAGGCCUUACGCUAUUUGAUCGGCCGAUGUCGGAUUAGCUAGUUGGUGGGGUAAUGGCUCACCAAGGCAAUGAUCCGUAGCGGGUCUGAGAGGACGAUCCGCCACACUGGGACUGAGACACGGCCCAGACUCCUACGGGAGGCAGCAGUGGGGAAUUUUGGACAAUGGGGGAAACCCUGAUCCAGCCAUGCCGCGUGUAUGAAGAAGGCCUGAGGGUUGUAAAGUACUUUUGUUAGGGAAGAAAAGCUAGUUUUUAAUAAAAAUUAGUGAUGACGGUACCUAAAGAAUAAGCACCGGCUAACUACGG
This 492-nucleotide ribosomal RNA is filed under the name uncultured bacterium. RNAcentral's name for it is "partial 16S ribosomal RNA". It matches the Rfam family "Bacterial small subunit ribosomal RNA", at positions 30 to 506 of the family's 1533-position model. The record is from RNAcentral.